UACGUAGGGUGCAAGCGUUUAAUCGGAAUUACUGGGCGUAAAGCGUGCGCAGGCGGUUGUGCAAGACAGAUGUGAAAUCCCCGGGCUCAACCUGGGAAUUGCAUUUGUGACUGCACGGCUAGAGUGUGUCAGAGGGGGGUAGAAUUCCACGUGUAGCAGUGAAAUGCGUAGAGAUGUGGAGGAAUACCGAUGGCGAAGGCAGCCCCCUGGGAUAACACUGACGCUCAUGCACGAAAGCGUGGGGAGCAAACAGGG
This 255-nucleotide ribosomal RNA is filed under the name uncultured bacterium. RNAcentral describes it as "partial 16S ribosomal RNA". It matches the Rfam family "Bacterial small subunit ribosomal RNA", at positions 524 to 777 of the family's 1533-position model. The record is from RNAcentral.